AGAGUUUGAUCCUGGCUCAGAUUGAACGCUGGCGGCAUGCGUAACACAUGCAAGUCGAACGGUAACAGGCCCUUCGGGGUGCUGACGAGUGGCGAACGGGUGAGAAAUGCGUAGGAAUCUACCCAGUAGUGGGGGAUAACCCGGGGAAACUCGGGCUAAUACCGCAUACGCUCUACGGACGGAAAGCGGGGGACCGAAAGGCCUCGCGCUAUUGGAUGAGCCUACGUCGGAUUAGCUAGAUUGGUGGGGUAAUGGCCUACCAAGGCGACGAUCCGUAGCUGGUCUGAGAGUACGAUCAGCCACACUGGGACUGAGACACGGCCCAGACUCCUACGGGAGGCAGCAGUGGGGAAUAUUGGACAAUGGGCGAAAGCNCUGAUCCAGCAAUGCCGCGUGUGUGAAGAAGGCCUGCGGGUUGUAAAGCACUUUCGGUGGGGAAGAAAAGCUCGGGGCAUAAUACCUCCG
This 465-nucleotide ribosomal RNA is filed under the name uncultured bacterium. RNAcentral's name for it is "bacterial SSU rRNA". It matches the Rfam family "Bacterial small subunit ribosomal RNA", at positions 8 to 471 of the family's 1533-position model. The record is from RNAcentral.